UCGGUCGCGGCCGCUUUCCCCGGGCACUGCAGCCCGAGGCUGCCUCUCGCUCCCCCGCGCCACCCCGCGUCCGCCGGUAGGGUUCGCCCGCGCCGCUGCGUCACUGCCGCGUGACGUCAGCGCUGACCGUGACGUCACGCGGCGAGGUGUGAAGGUCAUGGCGGCGCUGUCCCGACAGCGUCUCCCGCACUCCCGCGGGACACCAACCGGGGCCCUCGGGGAGGCCCCGCGGCCCGGCUGUGACCGCCCACCCACCUCCCCGGGACCUCGGCACCGCCGUGUCCCUCAGCUCAGCGCCGCCUCGGCGGCCUCCGCCGGCUCCCGCUGCCGCACCGGGCCCGCGUCACCCCGCCAGCUCUGUGUGCUUGUGUCGGUGCCAUGUCACCGACUUGAUGUUUCGUCACACAGCACAUUCCUGAAUCCGCCCGUGACAGCCCCGAGGCUCCCUCCCGCCGGUCUGGGCAGCCCGUGUGUGGCGCUGGCCCCGCUCUCGCUGUCACCAGCGCUCCAUCUCUCCCAGAAAAGUCCUAUGGCACCGAUGCCGUCCCAGCGUUAAUUUUGGUCUGCGACUGUGUAAGACCAGUGAUGGAACAUGGCAAAGCCAUCCACUGUACCAUGUUAUAGCCUAAAUUUAGGUAAUCCACGCCACGGCACUGUCAUCUAUAGGGGAUAUGUUGCAAGCACAUAAUCACAACUUAGCUGCUUUUAAAUGCAAACACAUGCUAAGUGUGAUUGCACGGUUGCCACAUCAGAUUGUCGUUGCCACACUGUAAUUGCCUUAACAUUUCCUGUCCUGUGAUGCCACAUCCCAAAGGUUUACUGGUGUAACUUCACCAGGGAAGUGGGGAUUGCAGCAGUAUCACAGCACAGCACGGUUGUGGUUAUCCCAGUGCAGUGGUUGUGGUUAUCCCAGUCCACUCACAGGACGUGGGCUCAUCCUAUGACAGCAUUAAGUUUUGGGUUCCACCCCAUUGACUUGGGACUAAACACAGGCAACAAGUGUCCCCUGCUGGAUACCAGCUUUCUGUUCACAUCAGGAUGUUCCUGCUUGAGGAGAAACCCUCCAGCAGAAUGAGUUAAAUGAAAUCCCAUACAUUAGCAGGAUGGAAAUAUAUACCAUGAAGAAAAAGGAGAAAAUGCAUCUUUUUUUUUUUCCCCAGCAAGUGUUUUAGUGGUGCUGCUUUGAUUUGUUUUACUGCACAGAAGUUAUGGAGGUGGAGAAGUCUCCUUGACUACUUCUUUCUCCGAAGUCUUUGUAAUUUUGAUCAUUGUUUCUACCCAUCUGUAGAAAUAAUCUUCCUUAUGGACUCAAUCACAUACUGUCUGUUUUAAUGAGCCCAGUGACUGUUGUAGGGAGUGAUGCCAAGAGUGAUGAUCUUUAGCUAUUUCUGUAGGAAAGCAGCUUAGCAGGCCAUAUGUCAUAUUUCCUAGUAAAUGAUUGUUUUGAAUUGUUUUUAUACUGUAGUUUCUAUUCAUGAGAUAUUAAAGAAAAUAACAGCAUCUGGUUAAUCAAAUUCUGAAUUUCAGCAUAUGAUGAUAUAUAUCAAUCCUAUUCUGUGACUUUCUUUGAAAUAGAUUGUAAGUUCAGUGCAGACAAUUUCUCCCUGUUGGCUGGUAAGGCAUCUUAUAGGUGACUAUUAUACCUUAAAAUUUUAAGGGUGAAGAGCUAAGACAGUUUGAAGUUUAACAAGAGCUGAGCUCAGCUACUGUUGCCAGAAAGGAGUUUGCACCACCCUUCUAGCACACAUGUCUAAAGACAAAGAGCGAACAGAAGAAGUGAGGCUUGAGCAAAGGAUUCAAUGGUGUGAGAUUCUCACCACCCUUCACAAAAAAACAAUAAAGCAUUCUCAAAGCCAUUUUGUUAGAAGAAAAUCAGACCAAAGACACUCUUGAAAUUGCUGGCUACCUUUCUUCAAGGCUUGUUGAGGACAACAGGAUUCAGAAUAGAGUUCUCUUGUUUGGAAAAACAGGCCUGGAGAUUAAUGAGUUGGCCAGGAUUACACCCACAUAAUAAGUCAGAUGCAAAGCCACAAUUAGAACUGGAGUACCUCAUGGCAGCCUUCUGAAGAGUUUGCCAGCUCUAAACAAAUUGAAAAAAUAGUCAUGACAGAAGCCAAAGAUACCUGUUCCUGGAGAUGCUUGGGAAAAAGACAGAUGAAGAGAAAGGACAAAAUAUGGGCACUGUUGAGGUAUGUCAGGCACUGGACUCCUGAAAAUUGUAUGAAGUGGAGCUACCUGUGCAGCCAGCUUGGAGUGCUUUUCCCUGUCUCCCACACCUUCAUAGACCCUCCCUGGGUCUGACCAUCCCUUGAACUCUGAUGGAGUUGCCUCGCUUGUAUACUCUGUGUUCUGGAGUAUGUGAAGACUGGAAGCUGAAGCUGGGAGGUGCCAGAACGUCCCACUGAUGAGUUCAGAUGCUGUAAGGAUAAUUUGACUCUUUUCUGAGCAGGAAGACUUGACUACGAAAGGUAGAAAGCUAC
Chiroxiphia lanceolata (lance-tailed manakin) is the source of this 2480-nucleotide long non-coding RNA. RefSeq lists it as uncharacterized. NCBI's taxonomy places the organism in Eukaryota, Metazoa, Chordata, Aves, Passeriformes, Pipridae. The transcript has 4 exons. The record is from RefSeq and is a predicted model, not a curated record.